This 241-nucleotide unclassified non-coding RNA is filed under the name uncultured Ascomycota. Its description in RNAcentral is "sequence contains ITS2". The stretch from base 1 to 52 matches the Rfam family "5.8S ribosomal RNA", at positions 103 to 154 of the family's 154-position model. RNAcentral also lists the same sequence under 1 other name. Lineage: Eukaryota; Fungi; Ascomycota. The record is from RNAcentral.
AACGCACAUUGCGCCCCCUGGUAUUCCGGGGGGCAUGCCUGUUCGAGCGUCAUUAACAACCCUCAAGCUCUGCUUGGUAUUGGGCCCCGCCGACCCGGCGAGCCCUAAAAUCAGUGGCGGUGCCAUCCGGUUCCGAGCGUAGUAAUUCUUCUCGCUUUGGAGGCCGGGUGUGUGCUUGCCAGCAACCCCCAAUUUUUUUAAGUUUGACCUCGGAUCAGGUAGGGAUACCCGCUGAACUUAA